This 296-nucleotide small nuclear RNA is filed under the name Jaculus jaculus (lesser Egyptian jerboa). RNAcentral's name for it is "7SK RNA (ENSJJAG00000006115.1)". It matches the Rfam family "7SK RNA". Rfam says of the family: 7SK was discovered as an abundant small nuclear RNA in the mid-70s but a possible function has only recently been suggested. The record is from Rfam by way of RNAcentral. Lineage: Eukaryota; Metazoa; Chordata; Mammalia; Rodentia; Dipodidae.
GGAUGUGAGGGCUAUCUACCUGUGACAUCUGUCACCCCAUUGAUCACCAGGGUUGAUUUGGCUGAUCUGGCUGGCUAGGCAAGUGUCUCCUUCCUCCCUCACCACUCCACGUGUGUCCCUCCCAAAGCUGUGCGCUCAGUUGAAGAGGAUGACCUUCCCCGAAUAGAGGACCACUGGUCUUUGGUCAAGGGUAUACAGGUAGCUGCACUCCCCUGCUAGAACCUCCAAACAAGCUCUCAAAUUGCCGGAGUAAAAAACAAACAAAAAAAAAAAAAUGAACUAGGGCUGGCAUACCU